Molecule: ribosomal RNA, 460 nt
Filed under: uncultured bacterium
Lineage: Bacteria
Description: partial 16S ribosomal RNA
Rfam family: Bacterial small subunit ribosomal RNA
Source: RNAcentral
CCUACGGGAGGCUGCAGUGAGGAAUAUUGGUCAAUGGGCGCGAGCCUGAACCAGCCAAGUAGCGUGAAGGAUGACUGCCCUCCGGGUUGUAAACUUCUUUUAUAAAGGAAUAAAGUGAGGCACGUGUGCCUUUUUGUAUGUACUUUAUGAAUAAGGAUCGGCUAACUCCGGGCCAGCAGCCGCGGUACUACGGAGGAUCGGAGUGUUAUCCGGAUUUAUUGGGUUUAAAGGGAGCGUAGAUGGGUUGUUAAGUCAGUUGUGAAGGUUUGCGGCUCAACCGUAAAAUUGCAAUUGAUACUGGCAGCCUUGAGUGCAGUUGAGGUAGGCGGAAUUCGUGGUGUAGCGGUGAAAUGCUUAGAUAUCAGGAAGAACACCGAUGGCGAAGGCAGCUUACUAAACUGCCACUGACAUUGAUGCUCGAAAGUGUGGGUAGCAAACAGGAUUAGAUACCCCUGUAGUC